AUACGUAGGGGGCGAGCGUUGUCCGGAAUGAUCGGGCGUAAAGGGCGCGUAGGCGGCCUGUUAAGUCUGGAGUGAAAGCUCUGGUUUCAAGAUGGGAAUUGCUUUGGAUACUGAUGGGCUUGAGUGUAGGAGAGGUUAUCGGAAUUACCGGUGUAGCGGUGAAAUGCGUAGAGAUCGGGAGGAACACCAGUGGCGAAGGCGGGUCACUGGACUGCAACUGACGCUGAGGCGCGAAAGUGUGGGGAGCAAACAGGAUUAGAUACCCUGGUAGUCCACACUGUAAACGAUGAAUGCUAGGUGUAAGAGGUAUCGACCCCUUUUGUGCCGGAGUUAACACGAUAAGCAUUCCGCCUGGGGAGUACGGCCGCAAGGUUGAAACUCAAAGGAAUUGACGGGG
This 397-nucleotide ribosomal RNA is filed under the name uncultured bacterium. RNAcentral's name for it is "partial 16S ribosomal RNA". It matches the Rfam family "Bacterial small subunit ribosomal RNA", at positions 523 to 918 of the family's 1533-position model. The record is from RNAcentral.